GCGAUAUGACAACAAAAGAAACGCAGGGGUGAAAGUUCAAGCGGUGCGCCGAUUAAAUUCUUCCGACCUAAUACAGUUGAUUGAAAGUAUAGUUCCGGCGUGCUGAUAUCUCUCCAAUAACUAACAACAAGUGCUUGAUAUCAUCUGAAGUGUUCAUUUUUGAGCCAAAGGCAUGCCAUCUUUGUGUCAAUAUGCCUAACAGGGUCAUGACAUCAGCGUUUUACAGUUUGGACACUAGAUGGCGCACGAUGUCCAGUUUAAAAGUGAUGACCAUACUCUAGGACGAUUCACUACUAAACGUUAGCAUCCAGAAGAGUGGGUGAAGCUGCUGCGCCUACACCUGCUCGGGGGUGUUUAUGACUUCAUCCGUCUUCAGCCACCUCAACCUUUUCCAUUAUGGUGGAAUAUUAUUUGUACGGAAUCCAUUAAAUUCACAAGGCAGGACUCUAAUGGCGAGGCUGCAGUGCUUUGCAGAAGGAAAAGUUUUUUGAAAGACACUGAUGAGAAACCACUGCUGCCUCAGCUCGAUUACAGCGCUGUAAUGACACAUGGUCAGAACACUUGGCCCAAGAGCGCUUGCACCUAGAUAUUCUACUAAAGGUAUCACCUGUGUGUGUGUGAGUGAACAUGGACAGGUCCUGCUAACCCAUUCCAUGCAUUCAGCCAUGUCAAAAAGAAUGAAUUUGUUAUUGGUUGGCUCAAGCACAACGCAGAUCAUUGCAUCAAUGUGGGACACUGAGGCUUAGGGAACAUGUUGAGCAUCUCUGUACCUGUAGGAAACAUUAAACCUGAUAGCUAAUUAGGCCUUAUGUAUAUACAUUUACAUUUAUGCAUUUGGCUGACACUAUUAUUCAAAGGGACUUGCAGUGCCUUACAAACUAUAUAUUUUAUCAGUUUGUUUAUUUCCUUGGAUUGAACCCAAAGUGUUUUGCUCUGCUAACACAAGGUUUUAAGCUAUAAAAUAUGCAUGAUCAUAGAUCAUACAUUGAUAAAGAGUAUAUAUUCAAGCCACCAUUUUAAAUGGCAUGCAGUUUUGUAUGAUUUUGUCUUUUCUUCAUAUGCAUCACUAGUAGACUAUACACACAACAGUGUUUGUUCCUAGUUUUUAUAUAAAAUUUUCACACAAAGUUUUUCCAAUGUUUAAAGGUCAAGUUCUUUCUGAUCCAAUUUUUUAAACCCUAGUUAGUGUGUAAUGUUGCUAUAAUAGCAUAAAUAAUACCUGUAAAAUGAUAAAGCUCAAAGUUCAGUGCCAGGCAAUAUACACUCACCUAAAGGAUUAUUAGGAACACCUGUUAAAUUUCUCAUUAAUGCAAUGGUGUGGGGGGUGUUUUCUUGGCACACUUUAGGCCCCUUAGUGCCAAUUGGGCAUCGUUUAAAUGCCACUGCCUACCUGAGCAUUGUUUCUGUCCAUGUCCGUCUCUUUAUGACCACCAUGUACCCAUCCUCUGAUGGCUACUUCUAGCAGGAUAAUGCACCAUGUCACAAAGCUUGAAUCAUUUUUAAAUUGGUUUCUUGAACAUGACAAUGAAUUCACUGUACUAAAAUGGCCCCCACAGUCACCAGAUCUCAACCCAAUAGAGCAUUUUUGGGAUGUGGUGGAACGGGAGCUUCGUGUCCUGGAUGUGCAUCCCACAAAUCUCAGUCAACUGCAAGAUGCUAUCCUAUCAAUAUGGGCCAACAUUUCUAAAGAAUGCUUUCAGCACCUUGUUGAAUCAAUGCCACGUAGAAUUAAAGCAGUUCUGAAGGCGAAACACAGUAUUAGUAUGGUGUUCCUAAUAAUCCUUUAGGUGAGUGUAUUUUCUUUAACAGAAUUCGCAUUUCAAAGCCUACAGCGAACAGCCGGUUUGGACUACAGCCCUCUACUUCCUGCUUUAAUGACGUCAGUAAAACAGUUUUUGACUAAACUCCGCCCACAGGAAUACGGCAGUUGCCAGCUAAGCCAACGGCAAGCUAAGCUGCUACACACUAAACAAACUACACAAUCAGAACUCGAUAUGUAUUUCUGAAGGAGGGACUUCACAGAACAAGGAAGACAUCAGCCCGUUUGAGGACCGUGAAAAGCGGUAUACAGUUAAGUAAAUUGUGUGAAAAAUAAUGUGUUUUUUUACAUGUGAAACAUGAACACAUGUUAUAUUGCGCACAUCACACAAUCAAAGCUUCAAAACGCAGAAAGAACAGGACCUUUAAAAAAAAUUAAACAUUCAAUCAUUUAACAACAACGAGCUAAGAUGGGCAAUGGACAACCUUGUUUCUGCUGGUUUACUUACAUUCAGGCCCUUCUUCACACCCUUUAAAGUGACAUUGAAUUCUGCUCUUUUCUCUGCUGUCCCCAUUGAGCAUAUAAAAACUUGGCUAAUCACGCUGUAACUCAGACCCUCUAACUAUUCCUCAGCCAAUCAAUAGCUUUACCGUCCCAAUUAAGGUGGGCCGGGUCAGGGCCAGGCCACAGUCAGUCCUUUACAACUUAAAUGCCAUGUUUAAAUCCAUUGUGUGUAUUACAGUGGGACGAGCAACCUGACCUUCAAGCUUUUAAUGCCUCGUUUCAAUAGUGCCGGACAUUAAUGCACUGAAGGAGAGCUUGCAGUGGUCAUUUUGUCGGUUCAACAAAUCAACAGAGUUUAAACUGAAAGCUUAGUCUGACUGCUAAUCACUGUGUUUACAGAACUUUCUUAGAAUUGCCUUUUUGUGUUUGGUAGAUGCCUUAAUUUUUGGCAGGUAUAGUUUUUGCCAAUGCAUGCUUAUCAUAGUGGAUCAGAAUAAUACAUUUUAGCCUCUGUUUAUAUGCAAGUACUGUAUACAUGUGAUAUGUCUGUCUCUGCAAGGUGUUUUUUCUAAACAGAUGCUUUGCCCCAAUGUUUAAAAUACAUUUUGUAUAUAAAAACAUUUGUUCUUUUGCCUCAAAAAGUAAUAACAAAAUAGACGGAGAUUGUUAUAAUGUGCGUUUUGAACACAGUUUACAUUUCAAUCCAGUUAAUACUUUAUUUAGAAACUUGUUGGUGACAUUACAAAAGAAAUUGCCUCACGAUCCAAAGAUGUAGAGUCGACCAACAAACGUACAAUGCAAGAGUGCAAGGUUUAUAAUACUUGCUCGCCCAUUUUUCACCUUGUGGUACAUUUCGAUAUUAUACUUAAAUCUUUUAUCACAAUUUCGACCAGACGAGAGAAACUCACAAGAUAUCAAAACAAAAAUCUAUAUAUAAUACGUGGGCAAUUACAGCGCGAAGUUAGCGGCGUCGGGUCAUUGUCAGUGCGCGGCGCGCUUUUCUCAUCUCGCGGGGUCGUUAGACGAUGAUGGAUGUAAACCUAUAAAGUAUCUAAACUGGACCUUUUAACAAACCAUGAGCAAUACUAUCAUUUCUUUAAUAGAACCUGCUGACCGUGUCAUUCCGUUGUGCCAUUCGUCAUUUUCCCAGUGAAAUAAUCAAUAACUCUACGCUCUGAAAUAAAUAAUCUCAAAGUCGGGGAACAUUAUAUCUUCCCACCAGGCAGAAAGACACAAAGAGCCAAGAGGA
Molecule: non-coding RNA, 3512 nt
Organism: Misgurnus anguillicaudatus (oriental weatherfish)
Lineage: Eukaryota; Metazoa; Chordata; Actinopteri; Cypriniformes; Cobitidae
Source: RefSeq, a predicted model, not a curated record